CAGUUAGGCACGAGUCAACAGCAAUGAUAGACUUGAAAGUAAUUUUUGCUGGGCAAGAGACUGAGGAAACAUUUUGUAUUUUGCUGGUCUGAUAGUGCUGUGCCAUAAAGCAAUUUACCAAGCAUAGCUUUACAAAUAGAUUGCAGAAUUAUUCAAGGUGUUCUGCAUUUUCCAUAAUUGGACCAACGAACUAUUCACGAGGCAGUAGUGAACGAGUGUUCUAUAUGGUGGUUUGCUUUAAAUACUGAACGAAAAAUGUGGUCCAUUGUGUUUUUUUUGUGUCGUUAUAGCUCUAAUCUUUUCUUAUGGCCCCUGUGUAGGUUAGUUAUAUGUUGAGCACAAUGAUGCUAUUUUAGUAGUCAUAAUUCCUGCAGCCAAGCACCCG
Molecule: long non-coding RNA, 385 nt
Filed under: Citrus maxima (pomelo)
Lineage: Eukaryota; Viridiplantae; Streptophyta; Magnoliopsida; Sapindales; Rutaceae
Description: long non-coding RNA (CMAX_LNC001914)
Source: RNAcentral